GACGAACGCUGGCGGCGUGCUUAACACAUGCAAGUCGAACGGAAAGGCCCUGCUUUUGUGGGGUUCUCGAGUGGCGAACGGGUGAGUAACACGUGAGUAUCCUGCCCUUGACUUUGGGAUAACUUCAGGAAACUGGGGCUAAUACCGCAUAGGAGCUCCUGCUGCAUGGUGUGGGUUGGAAAGUUUCGGCGGUUGGGGAUGGACUCGCGGCUUAUCAGCUUGUUGGUGGGGUAGUGGCUUACCAAGGCUUUGACGGGUAGCCGGCCUGAGAGGUUGACCGGCCACAAUGGGACUGAGAUACGGCCCAGACGCGUACGGGCGGCAGCAGUGGGGAAUAUGGCACAAUGGGCGGAAGUCUGAUGCAGCAACGCCGCGUGCGGGAUGCCGGCCUUCGGGUUGUAAACCGCUUUCGCCUGUGACGAAGCGUGAGUGACGGUAAUGGGUAAAGAAGCACCGGCUAACUACGUG
Molecule: ribosomal RNA, 468 nt
Filed under: uncultured bacterium
Lineage: Bacteria
Description: partial 16S ribosomal RNA
Rfam family: Bacterial small subunit ribosomal RNA
Source: RNAcentral